RNAcentral lists this ribosomal RNA (492 nucleotides) under uncultured bacterium. RNAcentral's name for it is "partial 16S ribosomal RNA". It matches the Rfam family "Bacterial small subunit ribosomal RNA", at positions 29 to 507 of the family's 1533-position model. The record is from RNAcentral.
AGUGAACGCUGGCGGUAGGCCUAACACAUGCAAGUCGAACGGCAGCACAGUAAGAGCUUGCUCUUACGGGUGGCGAGUGGCGGACGGGUGAGGAAUACAUCGGAAUCUACUUUUUCGUGGGGGAUAACGUAGGGAAACUUACGCUAAUACCGCAUACGACCUACGGGUGAAAGCAGGGGAUCUUCGGACCUUGCGCGAUUGAAUGAGCCGAUGUCGGAUUAGCUAGUUGGCGGGGUAAAGGCCCACCAAGGCGACGAUCCGGAGCUGGUCUGAGAGGAUGGUCAGGCACACUGGAACUGAGACACGGUCCAGACUCCUACGGGAGGCAGCAGUGGGGAAUAUUGGACAAUGGGCGCAAGCCUGAUCCAGCCAUACCGCGUGGGGGAAGAAGGCCUUCGGGUUUUAAAGCCCUUUUGUUGGGAAAGAAAAGCAGCAGGUUAAUAACCCGCUGUUCUGACGGUACCCAAAGAAUAAGCACCGGCUAACUUCGUG